GCAUUAAAGAAUUUCAGAUUUUUCAAUGGACUACAUUGUGGAACUUUUUAUCCUCAAAGCGGUUGUCCUGAAGAAUCCAGCAGGCUGAAGGGUAGAGCAUGCCUCCAUAUCAAAGGGGAUGGUAGAAUUAAGUCUGUACUUGUAUCUGAUGAAGGAAAUCUCCUUUCUCAUACUAAUGGUGCUGAUACUGUGGUAAAGAAUUCCCCAAUCAGCGGCAUUGCUACUGGAAUUCAGAUACAGCCUGAUUCUGUACAAUUUGGAACUCUUGUGGCAGAUAUUGCUCCUAGCAGUACUGGAUUCCCAGUUGAUAAUGAUGAAUCUGAUUUGGAUCGGCCCACCGAAGGCUUCUCCUCCAUUUCAGAUGCCAUUCAAGACAUUCGUAAUGGAAAGGUACAAUUGCUUUUCGGAUUGGAUUUUAAUAUGUAGUAUGAAUACCAUGUGCUUCUGUAUGCUAUUUGUUAUAUUCUUCAACACAUAUUUGUAGAUAGUAUUGGUCGUAGAUGAUGAAGAUAGAGAAAAUGAAGGCGAUUUAAUAAUGGCAGCAUCAAAGGUUACACCAGAGGCAAUGGCCUUCUUUGUGAAGCAUGGGACUGGCAUUGUAUGUGUUAGUAUGAAAGAAGAAGACCUGGAAAGGUUGAAUAUUCCUUUGAUGGUGAACAGUAAGGAUAAUGAGGAGAAGCUUUGCACUGCCUUCACAGUUUCAGUGGUAAGUCAUUUCUUUUCUGGAUGCAGCAUUAGAUUCUUCAUAGUUUACUUCUCUUCUAUAUUACGUUUUGAACUUUUCUGGCUGGAAAUACCCAAGGUGGUGGUCUAGGAGAACCUGCCUAAAAUUUAGAAGACUUUUCAUUUUAUUAUUUGUUAUUUCAGAUUUCUUAUGAUUUUAUUUUUUUUAAUUUUUUUUAUCCGUUCCCUCCAAAAAGAUAAAGCAAAUAAAACAAUUCUAGUCAGUGUACUGCAUCUAUGAUUUGGUUUGAAAUUUUUUACAGAGUUGGACCUGAAAAGGGUGUAGAUAGUGCUGAUGGCGUCAAAGGCUGGUAAAAUGAUGCUUGUGUAUGUCUUUGUUAUACAAUUUUGCAGGAUGCAAAACAUGGAACAAGUACAGGGGUAUCAGCUCGUGAUAGAGCAACAACAGUUCUGGCUCUUGCUUCCAAAGAUUCAAAGCCUGAGGAUUUCAACCGCCCUGGUCAUAUAUUUCCAUUAAAAUACAGGGAGGGCGGUGUCCUGAAAAGAGCUGGGCACACAGAAGCUUCUGUAGAUCUCUCUGUGCUUGCGGGUUUAGAACCUGUUGGAGUUUUAUGUGAGGUUGUGGAUGAUGAUGGUUCCAUGGCUAGACUACCUAGACUUCGGCAAUUUGCCGAGGAGGAGAACAUAAAGAUUAUAUCUAUAGCUGAUUUGAUCAGGUUGGUCAACAGACUAUCUCUUUGCUUUCCAAUGAACUAGGCUUUUGAUGUUGAUAUUGUUCCAAUAUAUUGUUAAUAAUAAUAAUUCUAAUUCUGCAUCUUGAGUGUUGACUUGAUAAUUAGCAUUUUCUGCAUGUGUUGAUUAUAGCCAACAUUGUGAGUCAUAGGAGAGUUAUUAGAAGAUCUGACAAAGGAGAUGUAUGGCGAGAUGUUAAUCCAUCGAAUAAUAUCUACCAAGUCAUGGAACUUUUUAUGCUAUACAUGUUACUUCUGUUUCCUUGUCAUGUGUUGAAUUAUUUGUGUCUCUUCAUCAUCUUUCUGUAUUUCACAUCAAGAAGUGAUCAAAACUCACCUGCAUGAUGUGAAAUUCAUGCCAUUUAUAUAUUUCUUCGUCCUGCUUUAUAUUUGCUUGGUGGUUGAUUGAUGCCAUAGCAUGAAAGGAUGCAAAGAUGAUAAUUCUUUUGAAAAUGCUCAAAAUUUGCAGAUAUAGGAGGAAAAGAGAUCAACUGGUGGAGCAUGCUUCUGCUGCAAAAAUACCUACCAUGUGGGGCCCUUUCACUGCCCACUGUUAUAGGUCUAUUUUAGAUGGGAUCGAGCAUAUUGCGAUGGUCAAGGUCUUUACUUCUCAAACUGCUCUAUAUAUAAGUUCUUGAGUACUACUCUAAAAUCAUUUGAAUGUGUUCAAGUUUUGUCUUCAUGUGAAGUUAUUUGAAGUAGAUUCAGUACAAUUAUCCCCAUCUGAUAUGGUUGUUUUAACCAGAUAAUAUUGCAUGAGUGUACUUACAACACAAAAUAACAUUUUCAAACCUUCUAACAACAUAUCAUUCUGCAGCAUUCAGUUUAGGCAGCUGUAGAAUCUGGCUAAGUGACUGAUUCCCUUAUAAAUGAUUUUUUGAAUUAUGUAAAGAUACAUCGAAAUCAGAGUUUAGGUUGCAAGUUUAUGUUGGCUCUGAAGAGAAAUUUAAGGAGCUCUAUGUUUUGACCAGGGUGAGAUUGGGGAUGGGCAUGAUAUUCUUGUCAGAGUACAUUCAGAAUGCCUCACAGGAGACAUAUUUGGUUCAGCCAGAUGUGACUGUGGAAACCAGUUGGCACUUGCAAUGGAACAGAUUGAGGAAGCUGGUAGGGGUGUCCUGGUAUACCUCCGUGGUCAUGAGGGAAGAGGGAUUGGCUUGGGUCACAAGCUUCGUGCUUAUAAUCUACAAGAUGCUGGGCGUGACACAGUGGAAGCGAAUGAAGAGCUUGGAUUGCCGGUUGAUUCAAGAGAAUAUGGAAUCGGGGCUCAGGUAUUACCAUGUAUAACGUCAUUGAUGUAUUUCCAGAGCAAAAGCAAACUUUUCCAAAUGAUAGUGGCUAUUGGAAUCAAGUUCACAGAUAGCAUUUAUGAUCAAUUUUUAGUCUUUUUCUUCGUAAUCUUUGGUGAAGUGUCACAUUCAAUAAUAUUAGGGGAUGUAAGAUGGUUUUAUUUGUUUAUACGCUCCCAUCCUUUUUCUUGCUUCUUGGCUUACUGAAUGCGGAUGCACACUUCUCCUUUUUUAUUGUCCUACUAUGUCAUAGGACUGAGGCUAAUAUUUUCUGCAGAUACUGCGAGAUCUUGGAGUUCGAACCAUGAAGCUGAUGACAAACAACCCUGCAAAGUACAGUGGGCUCAAGGGCUAUGGUCUAGCGGUUGCUGGGCGCGUCCCUCUUCAAAGUUUCAUUACAAAAGAGAACAAGAGAUAUUUGGAAACUAAACGUGUCAAAUUGGGCCACAUAUAUGACUUCAGUUCAAAUGGUUUUCCGAACUUAAUUAGCAACAAGAAUGGUAAACCCAGCGCUGGGAGCUAAACAAAUGGAUCUGACUCGUAAGCUUCUCUGUUUCCA
This 3260-nucleotide long non-coding RNA is filed under the name Coffea arabica (coffee). RNAcentral describes it as "long non-coding RNA (CARA_LNC001653)". The record is from RNAcentral. Lineage: Eukaryota; Viridiplantae; Streptophyta; Magnoliopsida; Gentianales; Rubiaceae.